This is a long non-coding RNA of Cervus elaphus (red deer), 11147 nucleotides long. RefSeq lists it as uncharacterized. Lineage: Eukaryota; Metazoa; Chordata; Mammalia; Artiodactyla; Cervidae. The transcript has 2 exons. The record is from RefSeq and is a predicted model, not a curated record.
CGUCCUUUCUUGGGGGGGGUGGGGGGUGGGGGGAGUGUUCUUGGGUGAGAUGAAAGAUGGGGCUUCGACCUUGCGAUUUCCUUCUCCGAGCCGCACUUUUCUUAGAAGACUUUUUCCUUCUCCAGCCUUUGAAACAUGUCGCAAGGGAAAAAAGGCAAUCUUUGAAACUGUGUUGAUGUUUUCCUCUCGAAAAGUCUUUCCCCGGAGAACUUAACGGUAAUUUUGCAAUCUCCACCUUUUCUUGGGAGCGCUCUUGACUUCGAGGCGGAGGGGAAAGGGCUGUUAUUUGCCUUUCCCUUUAGUGAUUUUUUUUCCCUCCUCGUAGUUUCUACCAAUUUUUGCUCGACUGCACUUGAAUGAUUUGAGCCAGUGACGGCUUUAACUUUAAUACUUUAUAGGUAGAUAAUGGCCUUUGUAAAAUUCCUCAUUAAAAAUGUACUGGAUCUUAAAUCCUUUUCUGCGCUGAAGGCACCCUAGAUUAACCCUUUCCUGGUGUGAUGUAUUGCGUUUGGGGCGCGCGACUCUGGGUUGCGAAUAUACUGGAGUUGAUUUUUGCAGCAGCUAUUCAAUUGUUCGAAAAAGAGGAAUAACGCUUUCAGUCACACACUUCUUAGGACUGCCUGCCUAAAGUUUACCUACCCCCGCCACCCCGCCCCUGGAAUUGAUGUAACGAUUGAUUGAGUUCUUAUUUCUGUAAAGAUUGGGGGACCCGCCCUCACUUAGAAUCUUUCCCCGAAGAGAAUAGGAGAGCGCAAUGUGAUGUUUUUCAAAUGGUGUCUAACGGAGCUCCCAAAAUACCGAACUUGUUACCCCCUGAUUGGCUGGAAGGAAGUGGGACUGGGGGGGGGGGGGUUGAAUGUUGAACACUAGAUUAUAAUUCUUGACUUUCCAAAAAAUUACACUUUUAGAAAACCACGUAAUGAAACGUUAAGACGAGGAGUGUAGUAGUGAUGUGUAGUAUUUUUUUCGUCCAUAAAGGAUUUUCGAGUGAUUUUGAAAUGUAUAUUAAAAGUAAAACCUAGAGAAGACGAUUUUCGCAAAAUUGUAAUUCUGCUGGCUGAGAUUACAAGACUUUUAUAAAUUUGCCCCUGUUCUCUAUUGGUUAAAAACUGAAUUUGGGUGGGUUUUUGUUUUUUUUUUUUUGUUCCUCUGACAGAAAAUUUUCAUCUUAAGCCACAUGUAUUUGUCAGAUGCAGAUUACGGAAGAAUUGUUUCUUUUAUUUCCAUGAAAAGAAACUUCAAUUUUCUUAAUGUUAAGAAUGAGCUUUUCCACAUUUCCCACAGAAAUUGAAAUAUAUUUUUUAAACGUUUCACAGAUAAUUUAAAAUAUAUAGGUUUUUCUAAUUUAGCCAUUGCAAUGGACUUAAAACCUUAUUUACAAGAAAUAUAUGUUGCUUAAUUUAGACUACACAACAGGUAAGUAGCACAGGUGCAGUGUGUAUGAUUUCAUUCAUAAAUUCAUUAUGAAGAAAUGUAUAGCAUACAACACUGUGGAUGUGUUGUGUUUUAUUUGGUUGAUUUUCAGUUGGUUUUUGUUUGAUGUUGCUUGAGACAACCGUCUAUGUAUUUCUGUUUAUUACAAAGCUUGUCAUUCCGUUUUAUUGUAUCUUGAUAAAAGGCGGGUGUGGUUUACAAAGAAAAUCGGUAAACUCACUGAUAAACAAGAUAGCCAUAGAUGGGUUUUGAAAGAUUUUUUAAUAGAAAUUUAUACUUUUUAUGAAUAGUAAUUGAAAUUUUGAAACUUAAGAGUUUGUAUUCUCACAUUAGGUCAAAUAUACAUUGUUAGAAAAUAUUCAGAUGAAAAGAUCCUAGAAAUUUUUUGUAAAUCUUUGUAAAUCUAUAAAUAUAAUUUAUGUUAAUAAGUGGAAUAGCUGAGUUUAUAAAUCAUACUAUUUUAUAUUACCUUCAAAACAGGAAUUAGAACGACACAACCUGUGUUCAUCACUUUUUUUCAGAGCUGUUUAUUUUGAAUCAUCUGUUGAAAAUUUCGUAAGAGAUGCUAAUUAUCAUCUCUAAAAUUUGCUUUAAUGAAAUUGUAUGAAACUAUUUCUAUUUUUAAUGUAAUUUUACCUAAAAUACCAGAGUCAGUAGGUUUUGCUGUUUUAGGUUUUGAGCUUUAAUUUUCAUUCAAAUUAUUAUGUGACUUGUAGAAUUUUGAGGGUGGGGUGGGGAGAGACUUUAUAAAUUCCACCAGGCUGGUUAAAUUUAACCAUACUUUUUUAAUGUUCUGGUUUAUGGGGUUUUUGUUUGUUUUAGGAGGUGAUAGGUGCGGGAUUGUUAGGUUUAAUAAGCCAUCUUAAAAAGAAGUGAAGAGAUUCCUUUAUUUUAAAUAAUGCACUGAAGCUUGAGAACACACUAGCACCUAAAUAAAAUCCACAGCAUUCACAAUAUUUUCCCAUUUACGUGGUGCUAGUAAGAGGAAGAUUUUGGUUUUAGGCUUGUGGGCAUGUAGAUAUGAAUUCCAACAGAUGUAUAUUAAGUAUAUUAACUAUAUUUCUCUGCAAAAAUGGACAGUUAUUUUUAUUUUUUAUUGUAAGGACUAGAAAAGUCUUAAUUACCACAGGAAAACAAUGGUGGGGAAAGGUGUUGAUACUGUAACUCAGCUCUUUUUAAAGCUAUGUUUGCAUGUUUUGGGGCAGAGGGAACUAGAGAAGGCAAGGUAUCAGUCUUCCUGGUAGCAUUGAUCUUCAUUUGUUUGCCCUUCAUUCUGUUUUAUAAAAGUCCAGUUUUACACUUUGUGUUAAUGCUGAUAAGUUGUCUUAGUUGUACAUUUACAAAAUGUAGCCUCAGGUGUUUGUGUGUAGCACAGCUUUUUUCCCAAUCAAAUUAAUAAUUUUUAAUGUUCAUCUAGAGCUAAGGAUGAAAAUUUCGAAAUAGCUUUCAUAUUCUGGAGCCCUUCUUUCAUCAUGCUUUGUGUACUGCAUUUUUGUUUGUUUUUGGUUUUGUGGAGACAUACAUAUUUUUAUCUCUGUAAAGCAAUAUGUAGUAACUGUUCAGAAUGUCACAAAAUAAGUUCAAUCAGAAAUAUUAGUCAGUUGAUUUGGUUUACAAAAAGAAAAAGAAUGCCCAGUGACUAUAUUAGAUAUUUCUUCUACAUGAUACAUAAGCUUUCUCCAGUUAAAAACAGUAUAAACUUACACACGAUUUUGAAUUUUUAUUCUAUGAAAAAUUUGCCUUAUUUUAAAGUACUGGCCUAAAAUUGACUGUCCUUUUUUUUUUCCUUUUGUUAAAUGAAGCUUGAGUAAUCCUCACUGAUUUCUCUUUUAACCCUUUUUUAGAAGAAACAGAUUAUUUGUCUGAUUAUAACUAGAAAACACCAUCUUAGAAAGAAUUGUCAGAGUAUUACUAUACAUGUAGUUUUACCUUGUUUUAAUUCAGCAAACUUAGAAACACUAUGUGCCAGGCAACAAUUUUGGCAUGUAAUUAGAAUUCAGACUAUGACUUUAUGAGAUUUGGUAGCCUCAAAUCCCUUCAGACCAAAGGAAAUCAGUAAUAAACUACCACUUUUCUUACAAAUAAGUGUCAAUAAUGAGAUUAAGCUACUUUUGCAUUUUUUACUAGUGACAGUACUAGAACUUUAAAAUCAUUAUUAAUAUUAACAGAAGUAAAUCAGUUGUAGAGUAUCACAUUACUAAUAUGUGUUUAUGGAUUUUUCUUAUUAUUUGCAUGAACAAAUGACUAGAACCUUCUUAAGAAUACUGCUUUCUGGUAGGGAAAUGAUUUUCUCUUGCGUUUUCUUUUUCUUUGCCUGUAUUAAAGAUACUUCAAAGCAUCUUUCUUUUAGAAGGACAAGUUUAAAGUAUUAGAAUUGAUAUUAAAUAGAUAUAUGAAUUUUAGUCUUAAUAUUUUUUAUCAAAUUGUGAGACAUUAAAUACACUUUUGUUUAAUCCUGUCCCAUUUCACUGAAGAGUCUUUGUACUGGAAAGACUUGUCGUAGGUUCAAAGUGUAAAAAGCUGUGUUUUGUAAUAGAUUUGAAUUUUAGUAUUUCAAGAUUUUUUAACAUAUUUUUUAUCAUAAACAUUUGGUUUAAUAUUUGUCUUCUGUCUGAACCUCUUUGUACUUUAUUAUUUAGUAUUUUAUUCUUUCCCUACUAUUUAAGAUCUUAACAUUUGGCAUGGAAUACAUAUUGGUUUCUUCUAUUCUGUGAUUUUUAAAAUUAAGAUAGCUUCAUUUUCUAUGUACUCACAUAUAGAAAACUGUAUCUUUUGAGGAAGACUAUGUGGAAAUCAUUCUAAUAUUUUUAAAUGUCAUGGUUUCAGGAUUAGUGUUUUUGAGUUAUAUAUGUGUGUUUUUUGUCGUUAAACAAUCAGAUAUUUGCAGAGGAAUAAAGGGUUGUUUUAUUUUAAAUAAAAAUGGAAAACUCGGCAUUGUGGUUCACAUAUAUGUAUUAUAAGCCUUUGGUAAUUAUUUAAUAUUUUUAUACAGUUGAUCAUCACUAAGUUAUUAAGAUUCAGGUAAAACAAAUGAAAACACCCUUACAUACAUUUAGUUACACCACCUCUACUUGGACACAUUAAACAAAACAGUAGCUCAGCAUUCAUCCAUUUAUUACUUAGAAAUACUUUAAUUUGUUUUAAAAGUAAAUUCUAAAUUUUCUUCUGUUAGAUUGUAACAUCUUAAAACAUUUGGAAAUAGCAGUGUUUUUAUUCACUCAGGCUUGACAAAAGACUAAAGUUAAAAAUAGUGGUAAUUUCUGUCAUUAAAACAUAAUUUGGAAGAAAAGUAGUUAAAAAUUUGUCUCUAUCCCUUGAAAACUUCUUAAACUGUGUGGAUUUUAUGAGUUUAAGAAUCAUAGACAAACUAUAUUUCUAUUUUUCUUAUGGAGUCCUCUUGACCAGUCUUCUAACAACUACCUACAUAAACACACACAUUCAUCUACACUGCUUUCAAAAUGAAUGCCCUAAAGAGAAAUGAAAGCAGAAACAUAUUAAUCUGAUUUGUUUGAAGAGGCUUCGGAUGAUAAAGCAUAUCACAGGUGUUUCUAAUCAAGAUAUUUCUAUUUUUAAAACAUUAUUUUCAAGUUAGGGUUUCUUUGAACAUAGGCAAGAUUGGGGUUGUUUUGAAGAUCUUACCUCUGUGUUCAGGGAUCAACUGUGAAACUGCAGGAGGCGGAAAUCUGUUGAGUGUCUUCAUGCUAUAAUACAUGACAUUUUUAUUGCAGGUUUUGACCUUUAGGAGAGAGCCAGUUCUGGAGAACAAGCUAACUUCUUUGAUUGAACAUGUAAUGCAUUGGAACAUGAUAGGAGAUUAAGGUUAUUAACAAUAGAAUGAAGACCAUAGUAUAACAAGCCCCCUACUUAGCCCUCCAGUUCUUACCUUGUAAGUAUUAACUGACAGUCCCCCUACCAUUGCUAUAAAAAAGUUACUCUUUGGCUUUAUGCUUUGGUUUAUUUCUGAAUUUUUUCCUACUAUCCUAGAAUGACAACUUUCUAACUUUUUCUGGCCCCCAACAUGUUGAAGUUUGAUAUUAACUUACUCCGUUUUAGAGCACAAAUAAUACCAUUGCCUUGGGUAAGUUUUCUGUCUUGGAAAGGAUUUUACAACUCAGCCCUCUCAUCUCUAUAUCUGAGAAUCAUAAUUUUAAACCCUUUUCCUUCAAAGGAACUUACAAAUAAGGAGUAGUCUUUUAUUAUCAUCAGUCAGGUUUACUAACAGUUAUUUUAUGGUUUUAGAAAUUGGAAUGUCCUCUCCACCUGAUAGUUUUUUCAUUUAUCUGUUUUUACAUUUCACUAGAUUAUACUUCUGACUUUUUGUGACGUGCUUAAAAUUUAGCUGUUAAACUUCAAGAGGUGAGAAAAACAGGAAGGCAAUCCCUUUUCCUUCCUUUUAUAUAUACACAUGCGUACCUCCUUCUUAGACUAAGAAACAUUUUUACCUUGAUUCAUUUUACUUUUGAGAAAUUUAUAAAUGCUAAGGGAAUAAUUCUAAUAGAUUAGCUAAAAUUAAUAUCAUAUCCCUACAAAAACUGUCGAAAACAAGGUUAUGAUAAAUGCCCAAUAUACUUAUUCGCUUAAAUUUGAGACACUGAAAUCAGUUACCAAAAAGGUUAGUUAUGUAUUCCUUCAGUUAAUUUUACAUUUGUAAACAAAAAACUCAAGUGCUCCUGUUUUUGUUCUUGAUAUUGAGGGAUGGCCCUAUUUAAAUGAAAAGUAAUGCUUCAGAUGCUUCUCUUACAUUACCUCAUACCAUUGCAUUAGUGACCCAGUAAAUAAUGUGUAUGUGUCAAGGAGUGACUUUAUCAUAGAUCAGCCAUUGAACUCAGUAAGUAGUUUUUAGGGUGGGAAUCAAUUAAAUAUUGAAAAUAUAAUAAUAAACCAGGUUGAAGAGUAGUAGCCAAAUGCCAUAGAUCACUUCUUUUUCUCAUUUUUUCUUUUAUAUUUUUGUCUCUGGAAAACUAGAAUGGAAACCUUUGCAAAUCCCCAAAGAAUCCUAUAUAAUCCAGGCUUGGGUUUCAUAAUUGGUCCCUUGGAAGCCAGCUCAGCUUUUUCUUCAACUUAACUCUUAGAAAAAAGAAAUCUUUUCAAUUGGUUUUGCACUCUUACUAUAGACUGGAGGGCAGUACACUUUUCAAAACAAAAUAGAUAGCAUUUAAUUUCCAGUAGAUUUGUAAGUACUGAUGAUGUCACAUUCUUAAGCUCAUUUCAUCUGUUUUGUAAAUGUCUAAGCAAGCAGCCUUUCUUGAAUACUCUCCAGUCUCUUUUAAAACAUAGGUCAUAUGCUGUAUUUCAUAGUUGGAAUGCUUUCUCUUGUCUCUUUUAGGUAAUAUGCCUGGAGUUCCUUUUAGUCUUAGAUACUAAAAUAGUGAUGUUUCCAAUUAAACUAUACCCAGAAAAAUGGGCCUAUAGUGACAGCGGUCAUUGAUUCUUCAUGGUUGUGUGUGUAUUCAUUCUCGCUCAUGUUUAUUUUAAUGUCGUUGUUUCUUUAAGAUAUUUUUUUAACUGUUUACUUGUGGAACAUAGAUGUUCCAGAAGUUAUGGAAUAUUAUUGUUUCAUAUGUUUGAUACUGUAAAAAAAUGAUAGUGUUUUGGAUUCAUUUCUACAAGUUAAGUAGAGAUGAAAUAUUUUUCAAGUUUGGUUUUCAGUUUUAAACUCUUAAACUUUUGUUGCUUAACAUAAAAUAUUCAGAAAUAGUCACACUUCUUCCUGCUUUUUUCCUUUCUUGAGCUAUGUUUUUUAUUUUUAUAUAUUUCUGUUUUGUGAAUUUAAAAUAACUUAGUAUAUCAUUUGGUGCAAAAUAAAAUAGCAUCUUUAGGUUCAUUGUCAGCAGUUAAUAUUAUUGCUUCUGUCUCUUAAUCUGCCACAAAAAAUUUUGAUCUUGACUUCAUAAAUUAGGAAGAUCUCUUGGAGUAGGAAAUGGCAACCCACUUCAGUAAUCUUGCCUGAAGAAAUCCCAUGGACAGAGUAGCCUGGCAGACUACAGUCCAUGGGGUCACAGAAGAGUCGGACACAACUUAGCAACUAAACAACAACAACAAAUAGCACUCAUGAGGAAAUUUUAAUUAUCUUGAAUAAUUUUGCAGUGUGAAUAUUUCUGGGAGAUGUGUGCCAAAAGAGGAAAAAAACAAAUUGCUCUUUUGGCACUUGGGUUAGUAAAGGAUAUUAUAAUCUGAAGCAGAAAAUGUUAUAAGGGUGCUAGGUACUGUCAGCAUUUGGUGGUGAAGAAAGAUUUGCAAACUUAAUCAUAUCAUCAACUGAUAUUCAGUAAACUUCAAAUCUAAGCUUUUAAAGCUGUAUAUAUUGUUUUAUAAUUUGUGAACAGAGAUAGUUCACGCUAUGUUAACAGCCAUUUUCCAGUCAUUGUUCAGAUAACUUUUUGAGAAGCAGACGGUGCUUAACCAAACACCAGGUAUUCCUGUCCUCAAAUUUUGUUUAUUUGACAUAUAUAUGUUUAAGAGAAUGGAUUAAGUUUGAGCUUUAAUGAUUAAGGCAAUGCUGUGUUUUUUAUCUCACUAGAAUUAUAGCUAAAAUUUGAAUUUUAACACCAAAACUAUAGAAAGGGAGUAAAUUCAUUGUUCUCUCACCCUGGACAACUUCUCAGCUCAAGAUGGAUGACUCGAAGAAUAAUAGAAAACUUAUUAUGAACUUACUUUGGAUAUUUUCUUAGGAAAUGAAGGCAAGGCAGAAUUUAAUAGCACAAGCCUUGAUUUAAGUAGGAAAUAAGUAUACAAAUCUAAUGAACUCUAUUAGUAAAUAGCUAAAAUAUUAGUAUAAUAGGGAUUUCAAGUUCUAAGCAAUAAAUAUAGUAGGUAAUAUCCCGAACUGUUCUCUGCAGUUUUGCCAUUUGCCUAUUUGUCUGAAAUUUGAGUCUACAAAAUUACCCCUCUGUAAAAAUAGGAAUAAAUUGAAUACAGAUUGACAUAAUCAUAUAUCCAGUUGUCUGCAAUCACACCUGACUUUUUGCCUAGGCUGUCAGUUGUACUCUUCCUGUUAUUUCUGAUAAGUUUAUUAAAAUUGCUUUCAGUUUUAUUUUCCUUAAUUUGGUUCUACAAGCUGUUUCUUAUGCCUCUGAAAUUUGGUGCCCUAUAGUCAGAACUUAAAAUUGACAGUUUGUCCUCCAAAUCCUUAAUAAGACAGGUUAGUAAAAUGCAGUGAAUUUUUUUAUUAAGUCAGUUUUUAAAUUGAUCUGUAUUCAUCUUAUUUUAGCCCUCAGAAUAUUAGAGUUAGAACCAUAUUAAAUAAACUUCUUCCUUAGUGUUAUAAAUUGUAUUUAUAUCUGUAAUAACUCUGUAAUAAUAGAAAAUAAAAUUCUUGUAAAGGAGAAGGUUUCAGUUUAGCAUAUAACUUAAUUUUGGGCCCUAGAUUUGUCUUCUAAAAAUAGUUUUUGUAUUUUGAGCUAAACGUUCCCACGUCCUUACACUGGUUCUCACAAUAUGAAUUCUAGACCAUUAGUAUCCUGAAUAUUUCACUUUGGCUCUGCCACAUUUUGACAGUAUAUCUUUUAAAAUACUGUAUAUAAAACUGAACCCAGUAUACUCAGUGUGGUUUGAGGUACAAAAUACAGUAUGUGUCUUAUGAAUAAGAUACUUACAGUAAUGUAUCCUGAUUCCACUUUCUCUUUGUCAUCAGUACUGUUGGUUCAUGUUGAAUCAUAGGCCACUGAAUCCCUAAGUCUGCCAGAAGUGUGUUUCAGAUCCUACUGUAAAUUUGAAUUCAGCAGGUUUUUGUUGAAUACUUGUUCACUUCUCGAUGUGCUCAUAAAAGUUUAAGAUUUUACAGUCUUAACACCAGGUUCAUGAAGUAGCCAUUAAUAGGUCCAUUUUACAGAGAGGAAACUGAGGCUUUGUGUACUGAAAUAUUUUAUCCAAGAAAGUGACUCAUAAGGGACAGAGCCAGAAUUCCAUCUUGGGUCUUCUGGCUCCAAAUUCACCGUUCUAUGUAGUUGCUGCCUCAGUAAAUUACUUCUACUGCUCAUUUUGUUGAUAAAGUUAGAAAUGCAGAAACUGACCAGUGACUUCUACUGCAGGAUGAUUCAAAGUUUAGGAGAUAUGUUUAGAACUUUUUAAUAUCUUUGUUAAAUACAGUAAUGCUUUAUGUAAACUAUAUGAAUUGAAUUUAGAGCAGUGUCAGAUAGAAAGUAAAUGUACCUAAGCAAAAAUAUUAAUGAAAACAAAAUUAGAGUUGCAUAUCACUUACAAAGAGGUGAGGGGAAAAAAUCAUUAACUUAUGUUAAAGUGCAUAAUUUUUGUUCUUUUGAAAUUCUUGUUGUCUGUUAUCUGAUAUUAAAAGAAAGCUAAUUUAAGUUAUGUAAAUAUUCCCAUUUACUCAGAUUCAUUUUCAGAUUGACUUAAGCGAGACAUUUAUUUUACCUCACCUUUCAAAAUGACUUUUUUUCUUAGAAGAUUGUAAGAAUGAAAAGUUGAUACCUCAAAAGCCAAUAGAGAUACUUGAGAGCCUGCAGGCCAAAAUACAAACAACCAGACGUGGAGCUGAGAGCUAUUGUGUAAAGAUUAAAGGACAAGAACUGAAUGGUUCUGUUUCCUGAAUUUAUUUGGAGAUUUCUUUUGGUUCUAAGUCUAGUCAUCAGAGUUCCUUCCAUAACUGCUUGGUGAAGAUGUAGGCACCAUGAUGUCUCCAGUGGGCUGGGACAUAGGAGUGGAGGAACGGCAGGUUUGUGCCAGCAAGCAUUGUCACGUAGCUCGUCUUAAUUUGCAAGGAGGAUAAGUAUGAAAUAAUGAAACCAAUUGUCUGCUCAGCACAGUAUUCAAUCCUGGGAAUAAUUGUCUGGGUUCAAAACUUACUAUGAAUGGAUAGUUCAAUUCUUCAGAGAGGCUGAAGUAAGAAUCCACUAGAGAAGAUAGACUUAAGUUGUCCUUAAAAGUAGGGAUAAAUGGAAGGGGGCUUAAUAAGUAUUUUAGCCUCCAGUAGUAGGUUUGGUGAAGAUUCAAAGAUCAGGUAGGAAUAUUCUUAGCGGGGAAAAGAACUGGAAAAUAAUUUAUUACAAGUGUCAGUUCUUCCAGGAGCCUUCACGUAGUGGGAGAGGAUAGUCACUACUCAAAUGAUGAGUAAUUGUGUUUUUUCCACUUUCUACUCACCUGGUGACCACAGUAGCAUCAGGCUUGAUCGGUCUUUGAUCUACUCAAAUAGUUCGUACGCUUCUCUGUUUAUAGGGACCCCUUUCCCCUAAGUGUAUAAGCACCAUACUUUGAACACACUAACAAAAUUAUUAAUAACCUCUUACUAUAAUGAUACCUAGCUCCUGUUAAAAUUUCUGAUUAUUUCAAAAAGAUCCACAUAAGGCAUUUGGCUGUCACGGCUCUUAAGAGAGAUGUUUUAACUUGAAUUGUGGAGUGUUUUCAUUGGCGAAAAAUAGGAAACACUGGAGAGGGCCUGGUUGUACAUUGAUACUAGGCAGAAAAGUACACACUCCACUUGGGAAACCAGAGAUAUAUUCUUGAAUGUAUGAGUUUUAAGAAGUUGUAUUAGAUAACUAAAGACAGGAAGUCAGGCUGGAAUGCAGUUGUAGAUACCUUGUACCUAGACCUGAUUUUAAGGUAUGAAAUUAUGAAUGGCAAAGAAAUUGAUGAACUAUAAUCUCAAAGAAAGCCAAUUCGUUUUAUUGACCAACUGAAUAGAUUGACAGAGGAUAAAAAAAGAAUAGUAAUGGGUAAGUAUUCAUAAUUUGAAUGUAAAAGAGUAAUGAAAGAAA